RNAcentral lists this long non-coding RNA (903 nucleotides) under Homo sapiens (human). Its description in RNAcentral is "HSALNT0322002". Lineage: Eukaryota; Metazoa; Chordata; Mammalia; Primates; Hominidae. The record is from RNAcentral.
ACAUGGCAAGCAGGGGCCAGAUUAUAUACACUGCCUUAAAGAUUAUGGUCUUUAUCCUCAGUGCAACAAAAUAAAGUCAUUGAAGAGUUUUAAGUAGAGGACUGACAUGAUGACAUGUUAGGUUCAGCCUUCUGAAGAAUUUGAGAAUCCAUCAUUGCACUGGAAAAUGGAACAAAAAGUCGACUUCAAAGGACCUUGCCCACAAAAGACACCAGAAUGGCAUGAAAAUGCACCUCACAGACAGAGCACCCAGCUGCUGUGCUUUGAAGUCAGCCACACCUCCCAUUCAUUGCUGUUACCAAUGGACUGACUGAAUGCUGUGGCGAUACUGAGGCCGUCUUAGUCCCGGAAGACAGGUGGGGCUCCUUUGUCCACCGCUUAGGCUGGAGUACUUCCCCAUGGCUUUGACAAACAAUCCUUAGACUGCAGAGUAGUGUAGGAUUCUUCCAUUCAACCUUCUCUCCCUCAUCCUGGGGUCAGACUUGGAUGCAGUCCGACAGCUGUCCCAGCCUUUCCUAGCUCCUUCUUUAUUUCUUUUUACACAGGCAUUUCCCACUAUUAAAAUCCUGACAUAUUUAAUCCUGUCUUUGUAUCUGUUUCUCUGAGGUCCUGGGCUAACACAAUUUCCCUUCUGGAACUUUUAUGAAAAAUGAGCAAGUGGAGACAUUGAUCUUAUUUUCUAAUAUCUGGGUGAUCUACUAUUUGGUUCUUAUGCAUUAAAUUAGAUUUUGAAAUCUUAAACUCAGGUCCGGGUCUCUUUGAGCUUUGCUAAUUAGUGCAUGGUGUGGAAAAGCUCAUGUGUCCUAGGGAACCACUUGACACUUUGAUGCUCCAUGGCAUCAAAGCAUGAAGAAUGAAAUAAAAUGGUAUAAUUAUUUUGUAUUUUAACUAUAAGAUCUCAAA